This 443-nucleotide ribosomal RNA is filed under the name uncultured bacterium. RNAcentral's name for it is "partial 16S ribosomal RNA". It matches the Rfam family "Bacterial small subunit ribosomal RNA", at positions 338 to 795 of the family's 1533-position model. The record is from RNAcentral.
CCUACGGGUGGCAGCAGUGGGGAAUAUUGGGCAAUGGGCGCAAGCCUGACCCAGCAACGCCGCGUGAAGGAAGAAGGCUUUCGGGUUGUAAACUUCUUUUCUCAGGGACGAAGCAAGUGACGGUACCUGAGGAAUAAGCCACGGCUAACUACGUGCCAGCAGCCGCGGUAAUACGUAGGUGGCAAGCGUUAUCCGGAUUUACUGGGUGUAAAGGGCGUGUAGGCGGGAAAGCAAGUCAGAUGUGAAAACCAUGGGCUCAACCUGUGGCCUGCAGUUGAAACUGUUUUUCUUGAGUACUGGAGAGGCAGACGGAAUUCCUAGUGUAGCGGUGAAAUGCGUAGAGAUUAGGAGGAACACCAGUGGCGAAGGCGGUCUGCUGGACAGCAACUGACGCUGAGGCGCGAAAGCGUGGGGAGCAAACAGGAUUAGAUACCCGGGUAGUC